CCAAGCCCAUGCGCUGUCCGCGUCCAUCCCCAUGUACACACUAGCAUUUCUGACCUCUUCUCGGAAAGAACUCUUCUCUCCAACAAGCUCGGCAAAUACAUUCCCUUCUUGCGAAGCACCCCCAGCCAUAGCAAUACCCAAGCUCCGCUACCUGUCUCCGCAAGGCGCGUUAUCCUCCUGUCCCUCCGUGGCUCCUGCGCCGCCAGGGCCUCCGGGGCCGCCGACCCAGCCGGCCUCGGGACGGAGGAUUCGGCCCGCGGCUCCGCGCAGCCCUCGGGGCGGUCGUGGGCGAGCCCCCCGAGCCCCGCACCCCAGCGCGGGAGCGGCGGGUCCGCGGCAGCGGCAGGGACCGAGGAUGUGGGCGGGGGGCUGCCGCAGGGAGCUGGGCGGGGGGGCCGCCAGUGCAUCCGCGGCUUUCCCCAUCGCCCGCUCGUCGCCUGGCGGAGCCAGGCACCGAAAACAAGAAACACUGAGAAAUCUCCCGUACACUCUGUUUUUACUCCAGACACACGAUUUACUGCUGCACGUUUGCUAUUCCCGCGGGGAACAACGCCCGUAUUGAUUUUGUUGUCUCCGACUGCUAUAUUUGUCUUGGAGAAAAGGUGUACGCAUAUAGAAAAGGUGUUGUUUUAUCGAAAUCUAAUAUUCAGCCGUCCGCGAAACGCGCACAAGCACUCUGAAAUAGCGCGGGGAAAGGACCGACGCGCAAUAAACGGCGCUGCUCCGGCCCUGCAGCGGGGCAGGUCUCGGGGUUGCACGCCGGCACUACCCAGGCCUCUCUAUCCCGUUUCCUCCACGGCACAUUUCUUUGGAUGCCCCCAGACCAGACGAUCGUUUUCUGUUGCGCCGUCUAGAACGGACGAUAGCUCUAAUGCCGUACCUCUGCUGGUCACGGACGGAGAGAGCCGCGGAGAGCGGGUCCCCGCGGGCUCCGUCCUGACUGCGGCUGCGGGCCGAGCCCGACGCGGGCGAGCUCGUCUCCCGGCCGGAGCCCGCGAGGCACUCGUCUCCGCAGCACUCGGCCAGCGGCAGCCCAGGUCGUUCCGCCGCGGACGGGGAGCAGAGGGGGCCUCGCGGGAGUCCCGAGAGGAAACCACUGUGCGUGGCUCCCGGGCUGGGACCGGGCAGCUCCGCUGCGCGCCCCGAUUCCGAUUCGCAGCGGCGAUUCCCGGGGAAGAGGAAAGCUUCCGGCAGCCGGGGUCCCCGCACGUCGCCCUGCGGUGCUGUGCCGGUCACAUCGCGGCGGCGCGGGCCCUCGAGAUCCCCCCGCCAUCCGGUCGGCGCGACGGGCACACGGCGGCCCGGGCUGGGGACGGCAUGGGCAGCAGCCUGAGCCCCACGGGGAGAUGCCCGUAA
This 1356-nucleotide long non-coding RNA is filed under the name Anas platyrhynchos platyrhynchos (common mallard). Its description in RNAcentral is "lncRNA (ENSAPLG00000019973.1)". The record is from RNAcentral. Lineage: Eukaryota; Metazoa; Chordata; Aves; Anseriformes; Anatidae.